UACGGGGGGUGCGAGCGUUGUCCGGAAUCACUGGGCGUAAAGGGCGCGUAGGUGGUUUGAUAGGGGUGUGGUGAAAGUCCGGAGCUCAACUCCGGAUCUGCCGUGCCGACUGUCAAACUCGAGGGCUGUAGAGGCAGACGGAAUUCCGGGUGUAGCGGUGGAAUGCGUAGAGAUCCGGAGGAAGACCGGUGGCGAAGGCGGUCUGCUGGGCAGUUUCUGACACUGAGGCGCGACAGCGUGGGGAGCAAACAGG
RNAcentral lists this ribosomal RNA (253 nucleotides) under uncultured bacterium. RNAcentral's name for it is "partial 16S ribosomal RNA". It matches the Rfam family "Bacterial small subunit ribosomal RNA", at positions 524 to 776 of the family's 1533-position model. The record is from RNAcentral.